This 427-nucleotide ribosomal RNA is filed under the name uncultured bacterium. RNAcentral's name for it is "bacterial SSU rRNA". It matches the Rfam family "Bacterial small subunit ribosomal RNA", at positions 354 to 796 of the family's 1533-position model. The record is from RNAcentral.
GUAGGGAAUAUUGCACAAUGGGCGAAAGCCAGAUGCAGCAACGCCGCGUGCGCGAUGAAGGCCUUCGGGUCGUAAAGCGCUUUUCUGUAGGACGAGGAAGGACGGUACUGCAGGAAUAAGGAUCGGCUAACUACGUGCCAGCAGCCGCGGUAACACGUAGGAUCCGAGCGUUAUCCGAAUUCACUGGGCGUAAAGAGCUGGUAGGCGGUUGGAUAAGUUGGAUGUGAAAUCUCCUGGCUCAACUGGGAGAGGCCGUUCAAGACUAUCCUGACUAGAGGGCGAUAGAGGUAGGCGGAAUUCCCGGUGUAGUGGUGAAAUGCGUAGAUAUCGGGAGGAACACCAGAGGCGAAGGCGGCCUGCUGGGUCGCACCUGACGCUCAGAAGCGAAAGCUAGGGGAGCGAACGGGAUUAGAAACCCCGGUAGUCC